GCACCCCUGCUGUGCUCGCGAUCAAUCUGACCUUGUUAUGAGCCAACACCAACACAAAGGGAACCUGGAACUCGCAGCAGCCAGAACACGCCCUCUAAAACUGGGACGUUCGCACUGCUGCGGAGGGUACCCACCUGCCUAUGCAGGUUCAUUCGGGUCAGCACUAGCGGUACGGCGGGGGACGG
RNAcentral lists this non-coding RNA (185 nucleotides) under Bacillota bacterium. RNAcentral describes it as "Firmicutes bacterium (anaerobic digester metagenome) 6S RNA". It matches the Rfam family "6S / SsrS RNA". Rfam says of the family: E. coli 6S RNA was the first non coding RNA to be sequenced, but its function was unknown until recently. It consists of 184 nucleotides that fold into an extended hairpin structure with a large single-stranded internal bulge. The 6S RNA specifically associates with RNA polymerase holoenzyme containing the sigma70 specificity factor. Lineage: Bacteria; Bacillati; Bacillota. The record is from RNAcentral. RNAcentral also lists the same sequence under 1 other name.